UCGUACCUUUCCAAAUCAGGUACGUCUUCCGGUGAAAAAGGCAAGAUUCUCCUUCGCCUACCUGACGUCAUAGUUUGACUGCCCUUCGCUUCCGUAUUGAAAAACCACUAGGUUAUCCUGUUGACCACUCCUUUAAACUCCGCUGAUAGGUUGUGUUCAUUGUUGCGAUAUCUUUCUACGCCGAUCCUUCGUUUACUGGUAUAUACGACUUGGAAUUUCGACCCUCGCAUUAGUCAUGGUUAAAACCAGGAGUAAAUCGAUUAUGGCGGGUGCUUCCCCAACUCAAUUGGAAAGCAAAUAAAGGAGAAUAAAACGUCGGGUCAAAGUGAAAUCUCCCCAGGCUAUGUCUAAGCGUCGGACACAGAGUCAAUCGAUUUCAGAGGUACAUGUAGCCGCGAAAUUGUAAGGGAAUCGGACCCGACGAUGUCUAGGUGUAAAAGAAGUUGCUGAGAGUUUAAACUAUCAUACUGCAAGUGUCUGUUGUGUUGUCUCUCUCGAGAAUGAUGGUCAGGAGGAUACAUCUGGACGUGAAUGUGGUGGCGAUCCAACUAUUAAGUUUACUCAUGGUGAGAAGUCAUUGCCAGAACGGUUUUUUUCAACGGACCGAUAUCCGCCGAACAGCAGGGUGAAUUGAUACUCAAAGCCGCAAUAUCUUCUUGACACCUUGGACAUUGAUGGGCUUCUGAGUUGGCGAUGCUAAAAAAAAUCUCAGUUCGGGUCAUUAUUUUCGUUCCCAUUUCGGCGAUGUUUAUUAUCUGGUAUACUUGUUCAUAACUUUCUAUGUUGCCAAAUUGUGACUACCAACUCACAUGAAUUGUGGUUUACAUGUGGUGGCUCGCCUUUCAGAUUCUCUAUUGUCGAGUCUCAAAAAGUGAUUGGGUUGUGUUGAUAUCAGAAACAACAACUAGAAAGAUUUAACUGAGAAAUAAGAUCUAGGCAGAAUUUCGGUAUAAAUCGACAAGAACAAUGAAGA
This is a long non-coding RNA of Camelina sativa (false flax), 973 nucleotides long. RefSeq lists it as uncharacterized. Lineage: Eukaryota; Viridiplantae; Streptophyta; Magnoliopsida; Brassicales; Brassicaceae. The record is from RefSeq and is a predicted model, not a curated record.